UUUGACCUCAUAUCAGGGAGGUAUACCCGUAAAACUUAAGCAUAUCAAAAAGGAGAGAAAAU
RNAcentral lists this ribosomal RNA (62 nucleotides) under uncultured Phialocephala. RNAcentral describes it as "partial 28S ribosomal RNA". Lineage: Eukaryota; Fungi; Ascomycota; Leotiomycetes; Helotiales. The record is from RNAcentral.